GACGAACGCUGGCGGCGCGCCUAACACAUGCAAGUCGAGCGAGAACCAGGACUUCGGUCCUGGGGACAGCGGCGAACGGGUGAGUAACACGUGGAUAACCUGCCCUCGGCACCGGAAUAGCCCGGGGAAACUCGGAUUAAUGCCGGAUAGCCCCACAUCCCUGCGGGGAACGUGGGAAAAGGUAGCUUCGGCCUCUGGCCGGGGAUGGGUCCGCGGUGGAUUAGCUUGUUGGCGGGGCAAUGGCCCACCGAGGCGACGAUCCAUAGCUGGUCUGAGAGGACGAUCAGCCACACUGGGACUGAGACACGGCCCAGACUCCUACGGGAGGCAGCAGUGGGGAGUCUUGCGCAAGGGGCGAAAGCCUGACGCAGCGACGCCGCGUGCGGGAAGAAGGCCUUCGGGUUGUAAACCGCUUUCAGGGGGGACGAAGCCACUCGGGUGAAUAGCCCAGAGGGUGACGGUACCUCCAGAAGAAGCCCCGGCUAACUACGUGCCAGCCGCCGCCGUAA
This 509-nucleotide ribosomal RNA is filed under the name uncultured bacterium. Its description in RNAcentral is "partial 16S ribosomal RNA". It matches the Rfam family "Bacterial small subunit ribosomal RNA", at positions 28 to 523 of the family's 1533-position model. The record is from RNAcentral.